UCUCUCCUUCAGAUGUCUUAGCACUAGGCUU
RNAcentral lists this non-coding RNA (31 nucleotides) under Rattus norvegicus (Norway rat). The record is from RNAcentral. Lineage: Eukaryota; Metazoa; Chordata; Mammalia; Rodentia; Muridae.